This 78-nucleotide transfer RNA is filed under the name Candidatus Thorarchaeota archaeon. Its description in RNAcentral is "tRNA-Arg". It matches the Rfam family "tRNA". Rfam says of the family: Transfer RNA (tRNA) molecules are approximately 80 nucleotides in length. Lineage: Archaea; Promethearchaeati; Candidatus Thorarchaeota. The record is from RNAcentral.
GGGCCUGUGGCUCAGCCAGGAUAGAGCGCCAGCCUCCUAAGUUGGUGAUCGCGCGUUCAAAUCGCGUCAGGCCCGCCA